UACAGAGGGGGCAAGCGUUGUUCGGAAUUACUGGGCGUAAAGGGCGCGUAGGCGGCCUGCUAAGUCGAACGUGAAAUCCCUGGGCUCAACCCAGGAACUGCGUCCGAUACUGGUUGGCUUGAAUCCGGGAGAGGGAUGUGGAAUUCCAGGUGUAGCGGUGAAAUGCGUAGAUAUCAGGAAGAACACCAAUGGCGAAAGCAGCUCUCUGGGACGGUACUGACGCUGAGACGCGAAAGCGUGGGGAGCGAACAGG
This 253-nucleotide ribosomal RNA is filed under the name uncultured bacterium. Its description in RNAcentral is "partial 16S ribosomal RNA". It matches the Rfam family "Bacterial small subunit ribosomal RNA", at positions 524 to 776 of the family's 1533-position model. The record is from RNAcentral.